UGGGGGAUAUUGCACAAUGGGGGAAACCCUGAUGCAGCAACGCCGCGUGAAGGAUGAAGGUCUUCGGAUUGUAAACUUCUGUCUUUGGGGAAGAAAAAAAUGACGGUACCCAAGGAGGAAGCCACGGCUAACUACGUGCCAGCAGCCGCGGUAAUACGUAGGUGGCAAGCGUUGUCCGGAUUUACUGGGUGUAAAGGGCGUGUAGGCGGGAACAUAAGUCAGAUGUGAAAUCUGGGGGCUCAACCCCCAAACUGCAUUUGAAACUAUGUUUCUUGAGUGUCGGAGAGGUAAGUGGAAUUCCUAGUGUAGCGGUGAAAUGCGUAGAUAUUAGGAGGAACACCAGUGGCGAAGGCGACUUACUGGACGAUAACUGACGCUGAGGCGCGAAAGCGUGGGGAGCAAACA
Molecule: ribosomal RNA, 405 nt
Filed under: uncultured Eubacteriales bacterium
Lineage: Bacteria; Bacillati; Bacillota; Clostridia; Eubacteriales
Description: uncultured Clostridiales bacterium partial 16S ribosomal RNA
Rfam family: Bacterial small subunit ribosomal RNA
Source: RNAcentral